GCUCUGUUAUCCUUUCGGAAAACCAUUAUGGUCCUGCUGAAUUUGGUCCUGAGAAAGAAUUUAGGGGAAAUAUUAAAAAUAUUAAAAAGCCCCAAACUUUAUCACUUUUGCACAAAUUGACUGUUCCCAAUACUCACAGUCAAACCUGCAACCACGCGGUUGCAAGUGCAAGAUUUAUGCCAUUGUACCAAGCACUGAGAGAAACCAAAAAGGACCAGAUUUGCUACCUAAGAUUUUCUAAGGAAAAAUGCUGAAGCUCAAAAUUUAGAAAUCCUCGUCAAGAUGAGCAGACUCUCAACUAAGCAAUCCAAAAUAGAAAUUAAAAAAGUUUAAAAAUAAACAUCAACGGAAGAAUUAGGGCGAAUUUGAGUGCUGGUAAAAGCCUGCCUUUAACAACAAGCAUUCUCCUGUUUCAAAAUUGAUAACAAUUUGACCAAAAAACCAAAGAAAAACCUGAAUGCUGGAUUACUACUCAGCACAACAGUUCUAAUUUCCCGCUAUUUCAUCUUUCCAGUUAAAUAUCAGGUCAAAACAAUUAAACCUUAAACGCAACUUUGAUAAAAUGACCAUAACAGGCAGCAAAAUCAAAUAUCCGAAGGUGGCAACAAGUCAAGAAAUUAUACUGCAAUUUUAUACGAUGAGCUUAGUCGCCCAAGGAAUUACUAUCCCCAAGUAAAAUUAAAAAUUUUUUAGAAUCGAAACAGAUUUGCGAUAUGAAGGGGAAAAAG
This 728-nucleotide unclassified non-coding RNA is filed under the name Hevea brasiliensis (rubber tree). Lineage: Eukaryota; Viridiplantae; Streptophyta; Magnoliopsida; Malpighiales; Euphorbiaceae. The record is from RNAcentral.